GGAAUAUUGGACAAUGGGCGCAAGCCUGAUCCAGCAAUGCCGCGUGGGUGAAGAAGGCCUUCGGGUUGUAAAGCCUUUUUGUACGGGAAGAAAUCCUGUCGGUUAAUACCCGGCGGGGCUGACGGUACCGUAAGAAUAAGCACCGGCUAACUUCGUGCCAGCAGCCGCGGUAAUACGAAGGGUGCAAGCGUUAAUCGGAAUUACUGGGCGUAAAGCGUGCGUAGGCGGUUCGUUAAGUCUGUCGUGAAAGCCCUGGGCUCAACCUGGGAAUGGCGAUGGAUACUGGCGAGCUAGAGUCAGGUAGAGGGUGGCGGAAUUCCCGGUGUAGCGGUGAAAUGCGUAGAGAUCGGGAGGAACAUCUGUGGCGAAGGCGGCCACCUGGACCAUGACUGACGCUGAGGCACGAAAGCGUGGGGGGCAA
Molecule: ribosomal RNA, 421 nt
Filed under: uncultured bacterium
Lineage: Bacteria
Description: bacterial SSU rRNA
Rfam family: Bacterial small subunit ribosomal RNA
Source: RNAcentral